RNAcentral lists this ribosomal RNA (738 nucleotides) under uncultured Russula. RNAcentral describes it as "partial 28S ribosomal RNA". It matches the Rfam family "Eukaryotic large subunit ribosomal RNA", at positions 216 to 962 of the family's 3401-position model. The record is from RNAcentral. Lineage: Eukaryota; Fungi; Basidiomycota; Agaricomycetes; Russulales; Russulaceae.
GAAUCCCGUCUUUGGCACGGAUGCACCAGGGCUUUUGUGAUGCGCUCUCGAAGAGUCGAGUUGUUUGGGAAUGCAGCUCAAAAUGGGUGGUGAACUCCAUCUAAAGCUAAAUAUUGGCGAGAGACCGAUAGCGAACAAGUACCGUGAGGGAAAGAUGAAAAGCACUUUGGAAAGAGAGUGAAACAGUACGUGAAAUUGUUGAAAGGGAAACGCUUGAAGUCAGUCGCGUCGACCGAGACUCAGCCUUGCCUCGGCUCGGUGUACUUCUCGGCCGACGGGCCAGCAUCAAUUUUGCCCCUCGGAUAAUGGCGAGAGAAAGGUGGCACCCUCACGGGUGUGUUAUAGUCUCCCGUCGGAUGCGAGGGUCGGGAUUGAGGAACUCGGCACGUACCGUGCUUAGGAUGUUGGCAUAAUGGCUUUAAACGACCCGUCUUGAAACACGGACCAAGGAGUCUAACAUGCCCGCGAGUGUUCGGGUGGAAAACCCGUGCGCGUAAUGAAAGUAAAAGUUGGGACCCCUGUCGUGGGGGGCACCGACGCCCGGACCAGACCUUCUGUGACGGAUCUGCGGUAGAGCGUGCAUGUUGGGACCCGAAAGAUGGUGAACUAUGCCUGAAUAGGGUGAAGCCAGAGGAAACUCUGGUGGAGGCUCGUAGCGAUUCUGACGUGCAAAUCGAUCGUCAAAUUUGGGUAUAGGGGCGAAAGACUAAUCGAACCAUCUAGUAGCUGGUUCCUGCC